Aedes albopictus (Asian tiger mosquito) is the source of this 971-nucleotide long non-coding RNA. RefSeq lists it as uncharacterized. Lineage: Eukaryota; Metazoa; Arthropoda; Insecta; Diptera; Culicidae. The transcript has 2 exons. The record is from RefSeq and is a predicted model, not a curated record.
CACUUUGUCCACAGUCUCUGUGCUUCGUCCUCGUUGUCUUGGUGUGGCUUCACUUCACUGGUCUGUGUAGCACACGGGUUCUCGGCUAUUCUGUCUGGUACGAUAUGUCCACCGGAAGCACUAUGCGAAACCGGAAUACCUUCACUUCCCAUUUGAUCAGGUUCCCUUUCGAAACCUGGACUUUCCUUCAGUUUAUGUCUGAAGCUACGGAUACACUCAUCUUCGUCACCCGAUGACGUGUGAGUUAUGCAGAUGUAAUUCAGGAAUUCCCACUGAGAGUUGCUCCAGGAAUUCCUACCGAUGAUUGCAUCAAGAAGUCUCACCGGGGGAUUCCGGUGGGAAUUCGUGCAGCAAUCCCCGGCUAGAUAUCCUGAUGCCGUCGUUGGGAAUUUUUGAAGAAUUCCUCGGUUGGACUUCCUGGAGCAAUCCUCGGUAGCAAUUCUAGGCGGAAUCUCCGGAUGCAAUUAGUGGUAAGAAUUCCUAGAGGUUUCUCUGGUGGGCAUUCCUAGAAAAAUCUUCAAAGCGAACACUAAAAUUCUCACUGUAGAAAUUUCCCAUUUCCUACUUAGAAACUUCCGAAAGUUUCCCUCAGGGAAUUCUAAAGUAGGUCCUUCCGAGAAUCCUCUGGAAAUUUUCCCACAACCAGUGAGCCAAGAAAUGCCCCAACAAUUCAGCAUCUGGAGGAAUACAAUUAAGCGCUCCCGAAUGAAUCUCCUUGAAGAUCCUAUCCGAAAUUUACCCUGAAAAUCCCUUCCGGGGAUGUUCAUGCAGUUCGUUUCCAUCCUGCAACCAUGUUUUACGAACACUGCGUUGUUUUUGUUGUGCUGGUAACAAUGGUAACAUCAGGUGAAAAUUUUUGACAAAUCUAAAUCAGUGAACUGAAAUUAUCGACAACUGUGAUGCUGCAAGGGCUGUCGGCAAGAACCGUCAAAAGCGAAUCACCCCUCACCACAGCGUAAAAAGCUGGAUAA